This 253-nucleotide ribosomal RNA is filed under the name uncultured prokaryote. RNAcentral describes it as "partial 16S ribosomal RNA". It matches the Rfam family "Bacterial small subunit ribosomal RNA", at positions 525 to 777 of the family's 1533-position model. The record is from RNAcentral.
ACGAAGGGGGCUAGCGUUGUUCGGAAUUACUGGGCGUAAAGGGCGCGUAGGCGGCCUUGUUAGUCGAGUGUGAAAGCCCUGGGCUUAACCCGGGAAGCGCGCUUGAUACUGCAGGGCUUGAGUGUGGGAGAGGUUGGUGGAAUUCCCAGUGUAGAGGUGAAAUUCGUAGAUAUUGGGAAGAACACCGGUGGCGAAGGCGGCCACCUGGACAGUAACUGACGCUGAGAUGCGAAAGCGUGGGGAGCAAACAGGA